Molecule: ribosomal RNA, 253 nt
Filed under: uncultured bacterium
Lineage: Bacteria
Description: partial 16S ribosomal RNA
Rfam family: Bacterial small subunit ribosomal RNA
Source: RNAcentral
UACGUAGGGGGCGAGCGUUGUCCGGAUUUAUUGGGCGUAAAGAGCGUGUAGGCGGCCAGGUAGGUCGGUUGUGAAAACUGGAGGCUUAACCUUCAGACGUCGACCGAAACCAUCUGGCUAGAGUCCGGAAGAGGAGAGUGGAAUUCCUGGUGUAGCGGUGAAAUGCGCAGAUAUCAGGAAGAACACCGGUGGCGAAGGCGGUCGACUGGGCCAGUACUGACGCUGAGGCGCGACAGCGUGGGGAGCAAACAGG